RNAcentral lists this ribosomal RNA (274 nucleotides) under uncultured bacterium. RNAcentral describes it as "partial 16S ribosomal RNA". It matches the Rfam family "Bacterial small subunit ribosomal RNA", at positions 523 to 796 of the family's 1533-position model. The record is from RNAcentral.
CUACGGAGGGUGCGAGCGUUGUUCGGAAUUAUUGGGCGUAAAGAGCAUGUAGGCGGUCUGUUAAGUCUGGUGUGAAAGCCCGGGGCUCAACCCCGGAAGUGCAUUGGAUACUGGCAGACUUGAGUAUGGGAGAGGAAAGCGGAAUUCCGAGUGUAGGAGUGAAAUCCGUAGAUAUUCGGAGGAACACCAGUGGCGAAGGCGGCUUUCUGGACCAAUACUGACGCUGAGAUGCGAAAGCGUGGGGAGCGAACAGGAUUAGAAACCCUAGUAGUCC